Long non-coding RNA from Sardina pilchardus (European sardine), 433 nucleotides. RefSeq lists it as uncharacterized. The record is from RefSeq and is a predicted model, not a curated record. The transcript is spliced from 3 exons. NCBI's taxonomy places the organism in Eukaryota, Metazoa, Chordata, Actinopteri, Clupeiformes, Clupeidae.
CCAGGAAGGAAGACGAAGGGGGUGCAAUACCCUGCUCAAUAAGUAUAGCUUUUAAUAUAGCCGAGGUUAUGAUAAUAGUCAUGAUCAGUUUGUCUGCGAAGUUAGACUGCUACCGAACCUAAAACAAGUAUAACACAUUCUCUUCGUAUCGGGACAUGGGUGUCUGUUAGUAGCCUAUUUCCAAUGGCGCAGAACGAGACUAACUAAAGCUUGUCAUGACGAGAUUCAUAUGAAUGAUAUGGGGAGUGGCUGAAACAUGGAACAGCAAGGCAACACAAAACAGGACGGCAGUCUAAAGGGGCAAAGCUCAUAUCACCAUGAGAGGCCUCCAUCACCUGUGCCCACUUGUGUGUCCAUGAAGAGUGACCAGUCAGAGGGUCGUGGGAUAAACUUCAAAGAUGAUGACGUCACAGAUGAAUCAAGGCAAGUCCAU